UGGGGAUUAGCCAAGCGGUAAGGCAACGGACUUUGACUCCGUCAUGCCCAGGUUCGAAUCCUGGAUCCCCAGCCA
RNAcentral lists this transfer RNA (75 nucleotides) under Chlamydia abortus. RNAcentral's name for it is "tRNA-Gln(ttg)". It matches the Rfam family "tRNA". Rfam says of the family: Transfer RNA (tRNA) molecules are approximately 80 nucleotides in length. Lineage: Bacteria; Pseudomonadati; Chlamydiota; Chlamydiia; Chlamydiales; Chlamydiaceae. The record is from RNAcentral. RNAcentral also lists the same sequence under 6 other names.